UUAGACAACAGAAGAAAAAAAUCAAUGUUAUUUCUCACAAAGUCAAAUGAUCAUGCUUUUCCUCAGGCGGAAAGUAAUCUCUUCUGAGCAUAUGCUGAAUAAGUGUUACAAUAGCCUCCAGUCUCCCAUAGUCAUUCGAGGGCCUGUUCAUUUUUAUUUUGAGUUGAGAUUAAGGCAGACCAGAUGCUCCUGUGUGGUUUUUUGUUUGAACAUCAGACUAUUACUAGUCUAAUAGACUUCUGUGGUCAUCCAUUAGUCACAUUUCACUGAUUCUGUAUUACUCAGUUUUCUGUUUCACUCACUGUAGUUCAGCAGAGCAUUUUGUUCAAGAAACUCUCGCCAUUGUCCAAUCGCAUAAAUGUUCUAUUUGUUUUUUCUUACUUUCAACCUUCAAAGGACUUUGAGAAUAUGGAAUUAUUGCCUGUAAGCAGUUUUUUUUUCACCCUGUGUGCCUGUGCGUUUAGACUUCACACAAUGAAUGUGGACAUGGUACCUCACCAACAGUCAGUGUGGAUAUUGCAAAUUUCAACCUGUUCGUGGCCUCCGGAACAGUGACGGAACGUCACCCGUCUCCUCAGGAGCCACGAUAAUUGCUUUGGCCCCUCCAGAAUUCUACGCUGGCAUGUUUAUAACGGACAAUGAUGAUAAAACGCAAUGACGUCACAGGAAAUGUGCUGGCGAGUUUGUAUUUUCGAGACACCCAGGCAAAAUAAUAUCUACUUGUUCAAUGAGAGUGGCUUGUACUUUGCUCCGAGGCUUCAUGCAUGAUGUAUCAAGUAUAGGCUUGAUGUUGUUAAGUAAAUGCUAAUAGGGUUACCUG
This is a long non-coding RNA of Sinocyclocheilus grahami, 820 nucleotides long. RefSeq lists it as uncharacterized. NCBI's taxonomy places the organism in Eukaryota, Metazoa, Chordata, Actinopteri, Cypriniformes, Cyprinidae. The transcript has 2 exons. The record is from RefSeq and is a predicted model, not a curated record.